RNAcentral lists this transfer RNA (93 nucleotides) under Bartonella quintana str. Toulouse. RNAcentral's name for it is "tRNA-Ser". It matches the Rfam family "tRNA". Rfam says of the family: Transfer RNA (tRNA) molecules are approximately 80 nucleotides in length. Their secondary structure includes four short double-helical elements and three loops (D, anti-codon, and T loops). Lineage: Bacteria; Pseudomonadati; Pseudomonadota; Alphaproteobacteria; Hyphomicrobiales; Bartonellaceae. The record is from RNAcentral.
UGGAGAGGUGGCCGAGUGGUCGAAGGCGCUCCCCUGCUAAGGGAGUAGGGCUCAAAAGGCUCUCGAGAGUUCGAAUCUCUUCCUCUCCGCCAU